Molecule: ribosomal RNA, 440 nt
Filed under: uncultured bacterium
Lineage: Bacteria
Description: partial 16S ribosomal RNA
Rfam family: Bacterial small subunit ribosomal RNA
Source: RNAcentral
CCUACGGGAGGCUGCAGUGGGGAAUAUUGCACAAUGGGGGAAACCCUGAUGCAGCGACGCCGCGGGAGUGAAGAAGUAAUUCGUUAUGUAAAGCUCUAUCAGCAGGGAAGAAAAUGACGGUACCUGAGUAAGAAGCCCCGGCUAACUACGUGCCAGCAGCCGCGGUAAUACGUAGGGGGCAAGCGUUAUCCGGAUUUACUGGGUGGAAAGGGAGCGUAGACGGCAGUGCAAGUCUGGAGUGAAAGGCGGGGGCUCAACCCCCGGACUGCUCUUGAAACUGUACGGCUGGAGUGCAGGAGAGGUAAGUGGAAUUCCUAGUGUAGCGGUGAAAUGCGUAGAUAUUAGGAGGAACACCAGUGGCGAAGGCGGCUUACUGGACUGUAACUGACGUUGAGGCUCGAAAGCGUGGGGAGCAAACAGGAUUAGAUACCCCAGUAGUC